RNAcentral lists this ribosomal RNA (468 nucleotides) under uncultured bacterium. RNAcentral describes it as "partial 16S ribosomal RNA". It matches the Rfam family "Bacterial small subunit ribosomal RNA", at positions 28 to 523 of the family's 1533-position model. The record is from RNAcentral.
GAUGAACGCUGGCGGCGUGCCUAACACAUGCAAGUCGAGCGAUUUACUUCUGUGAAGAGCGGCGGACGGGUGAGUAACGCGUGGGUAACCUGCCCUGUAUACACGGAUAACAUACCGAAAGGUAUGCUAAUACGAGAUAAUAUACUUUUAUCGCAUGGUAGAAGUAUCAAAGCUCCGGCGGUACAGGAUGGACCCGCGUCUGAUUAGCUAGUUGGUAAGGUAACGGCUUACCAAGGCGACGAUCAGUAGCCGACCUGAGAGGGUGAUCGGCCACAUUGGAACUGAGACACGGUCCAAACUCCUACGGGAGGCAGCAGUGGGGAAUAUUGCACAAUGGGCGAAAGCCUGAUGCAGCAACGCCGCGUGAGCGAUGAAGGCCUUCGGGUCGUAAAGCUCUGUCCUCAAGGAAGAUAAUGACGGUACUUGAGGAGGAAGCCCCGGCUAACUACGUGCCAGCCGCCGCAGUAA